GACAGAGGGUGCAAACGUUGUUCGGAAUUACUGGGCGUAAAGCGCGUGUAGGCGGCCAUCUAAGUCGGGCGUGAAAUCCCACGGCUCAACCGUGGAAGUGCACUCGAAACUGGAUGGCUAGAGUCCUGGAGAGGAAGGUGGAAUGCUUGGUGUAGAGGUGAAAUUCGUAGAUAUCAAGCGGAACACCGGUGGCGAAGGCGGCCUUCUGGACAGUGACUGACGCUGAG
Molecule: ribosomal RNA, 227 nt
Filed under: uncultured bacterium
Lineage: Bacteria
Description: partial 16S ribosomal RNA
Rfam family: Bacterial small subunit ribosomal RNA
Source: RNAcentral